This 1657-nucleotide long non-coding RNA is filed under the name Paramuricea clavata. The record is from RNAcentral. Lineage: Eukaryota; Metazoa; Cnidaria; Anthozoa; Malacalcyonacea; Plexauridae.
UAUAGCUCUGUUUCCUAAGCAUUGACAGGUACCAAUGACCUAAUUUGACCUUGAUAGUUUAAAUGUUUACAGUGCAAGUGUGAAAGGUCUAUUUCGGCACUUUUUAUACAGUAGAACACUAAAAGGCUAUAUGCGAAGCACUAUGGUUGAAGACUACUUAAAUUAAAUUACUUGGCUUGGUCAUGAUGCAAGUUCAUCAGGAAAUUAUUCCUAACAUAGUACUGUAGGAAACAUUAUUGAUAAAUUUUCUGGAACAUGUGGUUAAAGUUAAAACUUGCACAAAGACCACUCUCGCCUCCAAUAGCAAUUAAUAACCUCACUCUUGUACACAACACUGACAGAAAAACCUUCCUGGGGUUUGGUUCUUCAUCAUCAACCAAACUUAGCCUUUCAAGAUCACCACCUUCCCAAAUCCCCCCCCCCCCAAACAUUAUUCAAGCUUUGUAGACAAAAGCUGAUGCCAAAUAUCGGGUCUGAUCUCAUUGGCUUGAGACAGGUCCAUUGCAUCUUGAACCAGUUAAAUUUUUCAACAGACCAGGGCUUGAAAUAACAACUGAUCACCAAUCAAUAAUAGGCAGGAAACUGCUUAUGAUCGGCGGAAAAGCAUGGUUUGCAACCUGAAAAAGCAGGGAAAGUCAUGACUGCCGAUCACCAUGAUCGGGAACUUUGGGAACAUUAUUUCAGGCCCUGACAGACAAACUCCAUGUUGAUAGUAUGUGACUGUCUAGUGAGUAUAUAAUACAGUAUGUAUAAGCAUAGUAUAGGAAUAAUACAAUACUGUGUUAAAAACCUUGCCAAUUUAAUAUUUCAGAUAACUAGAUAAGUAAAGUAAUAGUCAUUUGUAAUGAAAUAUUUUGUAUUUGAAUCGACUGUGAUUAAAAUAUGUUUAAAAUGCCAGGUAAAAUAAACUUGUUUUCAAUAAAAGUUGGCUUCCACUGAAGCUACAGCUUUGAGGCACCAUUUCACUUGCGAUAUUAUACAUUUUCAUAGCUGGACAGAUAUAUAACAAGAUGAUGAAUUUAAUUAGAUUAUAUAUAUAGACAUAGCUAGGUUAGUAAUAGGACUAUGGAAGGGGCUAAAGGGAAAAACCAGGCAAUUUCACAUCCAUGAAAUGUCCCGUAUUGUCAUCCAUUUUUAACCAAGCUCCUUUUGCUGCGGUGAAAGGUGUGAGGUGGGUUUAUGGCACCUUAAAACCAGAUUGCUCAUUUUAGGUGGUAUUCAUUGUUCAUUUUAUUGUCACCCAUUUCUAAGUUCUAGCCAAACUCCUUUUGCUCUUGCAAAAGGUGUGAAGGCAAGCAAUCUGGUUUUAAGGAGCCAGAAACCUGUGCUAGCUUGUGUUCAGCUUUUUCAAGAAGCUGUCCUUGUUGGAUCACGGUUUACUAUUUUUGGUAAACGUGUUUCCUAUAGGCAUGCUGAUGAACCAAGGUAUACACUGUAGGGCGAAACAGUCUAUCUAUUAAUAUAUCAUAUGCUGAACAAUGGCAGGUACGAAAAUUAUGUCAUUUACGCAUUUGUAGUUUGAUAAAACAAAAUAUCUAUACUUCCACAAAAAUUGGACUAUCAUCCUGACAUCAAAUGACGUCAUGUCAAAUGACGUCAUCACGUUUGCGUCAUCGAUGACGUCAUAAAAUUUUGACUAACGUGCGAAAAAUCCUAG